GUUCCCUGCACUUCACUUAGUAGCUUACAAGUUGCCAUUUACAAGAGGCGCUACGACGAAUAAUAUUCUAAUGGAUUUGUUUGUUUAUUGUAAAAGUCAUUGGUAAUAGAAGAUAUAGGAACGAUGCGCGAGAAAAAAGUUAAGUGGCAAGAAUUAUUUACUAAUAAGAUAAGAAGAACGAGACGAACAAGAUGAGAGAUCGCUGGAGUUUAAGUAAGCGAGCUACAGAAGAAAGACGAGUGGAAGUACGCGCGCUAUUGGCGUGUAGUAUCAUACGGUUGAAGCAGCUAAAAUAACCAUACAAUGUACGAUGAUGCUCAACUCGCAGUAGUUCCGGAUGACCUGAAUCUAACGUUUGUCUGAUUUGAGGAAGAAAAGGAAUGGCCAGAUUAGAUAGAUCGGUUAGAUUCGUGGGAGAAAAAUUGACGUUACACGGUGUACUCGAAGGACAUUGGAAAGAUGAAAUAUGCGAAUCGCUGUCGUCGUUUCGCGACAGGAUGGACGUGUCCUCUCGUUGGAAAGCCAGGACCUUCGAGCGCGCAACGCACGUAUCACUCACACAACCGUGUGUCAGUGAAAAUCGCGUCUCGCAAUUUAACUCGAGAUCACGAAGUCUUGGCGUGUACGCCUGUAAAAAUAUUUCGCACUUUCUUUAGAAGCGAUUAGCACGAAUUAACUUCAAAACUGAGAACACGAGUAAACUCGUCCAUUUAAAUUGACCAAUCCCACGAAUACAAUAAUAUCCUCGCUCGAACAUUUCUUAUAUUUCGUGUUUCUUCGUUUUUCUCAGAGCUAAAUUACAUCGCUAGACUGUGUUUAUGCAGAUAUUUAUGUGUUCAUGGCACGUAUAGAUAUUUCGGAAUAUAAAAACAUUAAGAU
Bombus impatiens (common eastern bumble bee) is the source of this 879-nucleotide long non-coding RNA. RefSeq lists it as uncharacterized. The transcript has 4 exons. The record is from RefSeq and is a predicted model, not a curated record. Lineage: Eukaryota; Metazoa; Arthropoda; Insecta; Hymenoptera; Apidae.